This 208-nucleotide ribosomal RNA is filed under the name Klebsiella pneumoniae. RNAcentral describes it as "partial 23S ribosomal RNA". It matches the Rfam family "Bacterial large subunit ribosomal RNA", at positions 362 to 572 of the family's 2925-position model. The record is from RNAcentral. Lineage: Bacteria; Pseudomonadati; Pseudomonadota; Gammaproteobacteria; Enterobacterales; Enterobacteriaceae.
GGGUGAUAGUCCCGUACACCAAAAUGCACAGGCUGUGAACUCGAAGAGUAGGGCGGGACACGUGGUAUCCUGUCUGAAUAUGGGGGGACCAUCCUCCAAGGCUAAAUACUCCUGACUGACCGAUAGUGAACCAGUACCGUGAGGGAAAGGCGAAAAGAACCCCGGCGAGGGGAGUGAAAAAGAACCUGAAACCGUGUACGUACAAGCA